GUGGGGAAUCUUGCACAAUGGGCGAAAGCCUGACGCAGCCAUGCCGCGUGAAUGAUGAAGGUCUUAGGAUUGUAAAAUUCUUUCACCGGGGACGAUAAUGACGGUACCCGGAGAAGAAGCCCCGGCUAACUUCGUGCCAGCAGCCGCGGUAAUACGAAGGGGGCUAGCGUUGCUCGGAAUUACUGGGCGUAAAGGGAGCGUAGGCGGACAUUUAAGUCAGGGGUGAAAUCCCGGGGCUCAACCUCGGAAUUGCCUUUGAUACUGGGUGUCUUGAGUGUGAGAUAGGUAUGUGGAACUCCGAGUGUAGAGGUGAAAUUCGUAGAUAUUCGGAAGAACACCAGUGGCGAAGGCGACAUACUGGCUCAUUACUGACGCUGAGGCUCGAAAGCGUGGGGAGCAAACAGGAUUAGAAACCCGUGUAGUCC
RNAcentral lists this ribosomal RNA (425 nucleotides) under uncultured bacterium. RNAcentral's name for it is "partial 16S ribosomal RNA". It matches the Rfam family "Bacterial small subunit ribosomal RNA", at positions 354 to 796 of the family's 1533-position model. The record is from RNAcentral.